This is a long non-coding RNA of Physella acuta, 484 nucleotides long. RefSeq lists it as uncharacterized. The record is from RefSeq and is a predicted model, not a curated record. Lineage: Eukaryota; Metazoa; Mollusca; Gastropoda; Physidae.
GAUUACCAUACAUAAACACUUGUGGGUUAACAAUAUUCUAGGGUAAACUCAACUCACACACGCACUCUCCCCUAUUUCUAGAUUAUUCUAACCUGAUCUCAAAUGCCCCUAGUAGUCACCAUGACUAAAUUCUUCCAACAAGUGGGAGUUGUUUGUGUUCCAGCACUAAUUAAUUUCAUAGUUUAAUGUCGACAUUAGAUUUACUGGUUGUAUAAACUAACAGUAGUCAACAACUAAUGAAUUGGGCUAGCAACAUCACACAACUUUCCAAUCAUGAGUGGUGGUAUGACAGACUUAGAGAAGAAGUUGAUUAAAACUGGGAAGCUUGCUGCAGAUGUCUAUUCAAGAGCCUUAACACAUGCUAUUAGCUCUGUGUGCACUAAAGUUAUCAAGAAGGAUGAAUGUUCGCUUAAAUCAUCUGACUCAGAGUGUAUGGAUUUUUGUAAUUUUAGAACUAAAGCUCCAUGCCAGAAUAGCUGCAAUG